GACGAACGCUGGCGGCGUGCCUAAUACAUGCAAGUAGAACGCUGAAGAGAGGAGCUUGCUCUUCUUGGAAGAGUUGCGAACGGGUGAGUAACGCGUAGGUAACCUGCCUUGUAGCGGGGGAUAACUAUUGGAAACGAUAGCUAAUACCGCAUAACAAUGGGUGACCCAUGUCAUUCAUUUGAAAGGGGCAACUGCUCCACUACAAGAUGGACCUGCGUUGUAUUAGCCAGUAGGUGAGGUAACGGCUCACCUAGGCGACGAUACAUAGCCGACCUGAGAGGGUGAUCGGCCACACUGGGACUGAGACACGGCCCAGACUCCUACGGGAGGCAGCAGUAGGGAAUCUUCGGCAAUGGGGGCAACCCUGACCGAGCAACGCCGCGUGAGUGAAGAAGGUUUUCGGAUCGUAAAGCUCUGUUGUAAGUCAAGAACGAGUGUGAGAGUGGAAAGUUCACACUGUGACGGUAGCUUACCAGAAAGGGACGGCUAACUACGUGCCAGCAGCCGCGGUAAUACGUAGGUCCCGAGCGUUGUCCGGAUUUAUCGGGCGUAAAGCGAGCGCAGGCGGUUUGAUAAGUCUGAAGUUAAAGGCUGUGGCUCAACCAUAGUUCGCUUUGGAAACUGUCAAACUUGAGUGCAGAAGGGGAGAGUGGAAUUCCAUGUGUAGCGGUGAAAUGCGUAGAUAUAUGGAGGAACACCGGUGGCGGAAGCGGCUCUCUGGUCUGUAACUGACGCUGAGGCUCGAAAGCGUGGGGAGCGAACAGG
Molecule: ribosomal RNA, 765 nt
Filed under: uncultured Streptococcus sp.
Lineage: Bacteria; Bacillati; Bacillota; Bacilli; Lactobacillales; Streptococcaceae
Description: bacterial SSU rRNA
Rfam family: Bacterial small subunit ribosomal RNA
Source: RNAcentral